CUUUUUUUAUACACACCCAACAAUGAUCUAAUAUAUACCUCGAGGCCCUUUUUUCUCUUUCUAAUUUUUUUUCUUUUCUAAGAUCUUUGCAUCUAAAAGUUUAUGAAAUUUGGGUAUCAUUUUAUAUAGAAGUGUGUAUUGAGACGUCAAAUGAUUAUUUUACUAGAUGUGUAUCAAUUGACCUUAUACUAUGUAUUAGUGAAC
This 204-nucleotide long non-coding RNA is filed under the name Elaeis guineensis (African oil palm). RNAcentral's name for it is "long non-coding RNA (EGUI_LNC006278)". Lineage: Eukaryota; Viridiplantae; Streptophyta; Magnoliopsida; Arecales; Arecaceae. The record is from RNAcentral.